Molecule: ribosomal RNA, 735 nt
Filed under: uncultured bacterium
Lineage: Bacteria
Description: bacterial SSU rRNA
Rfam family: Bacterial small subunit ribosomal RNA
Source: RNAcentral
ACUCCUACGGGUGGCUGCAGUGGGGAAUAUUGCGCAAUGGGGGGAACCCUGACGCAGCCAUGCCGCGUGAAUGAAGAAGGCCUUCGGGUUGUAAAGUUCUUUCGGUAUUGAGGAAGGUUGAUGUGUUAAUAGCACAUCAAAUUGACGUUAAAUACAGAAGAAGCACCGGCUAACUCCGUGCCAGCAGCCGCGGUAAUACGGAGGGUGCGAGCGUUAAUCGGAAUAACUGGGCGUAAAGGGCACACAGGCGGUUAUUUAAGUGAGGUGUGAAAGCCCUGGGCUUAACCUAGGAAUUGCAUUUCAAACUGGGUAACUAGAGUACUUUAGGGAGGGGUAGAAUUCCACGUGUAGCGGUGAAAUGCGUAGAGAUGUGGAGGAAUACCCGAAGGCGAAGGGCAGCCCCUUGGGAAUGUACUGACGCUCAUGUGCGAAAGCGUGGGGAGCAAACAGGAUUAGAUACCCUGGUAGUCCACGCUGUAAACGCUGUCGAUUUGGGGGUUGGGGUUUAACUCUGGCGCCCGUAGCUAACGUGAUAAAUCGACCGCCUGGGGAGUACGGCCGCAAGGUUAAAACUCAAAUGAAUUGACGGGGGCCCGCACAAGCGGUGGAGCAUGUGGUUUAAUUCGAUGCAACGCGAAGAACCUUACCUACUCUUGACAUCCUAAGAAGAGCUCAGAGAUGAGCUUGUGCCUUCGGGAACUUAGAGACAGGUGAUGCAUGGAUGUCGUCAGCUCG